Molecule: ribosomal RNA, 343 nt
Filed under: Pheidole sp. b RA0558
Lineage: Eukaryota; Metazoa; Arthropoda; Insecta; Hymenoptera; Formicidae
Description: partial 12S ribosomal RNA
Source: RNAcentral
UUAUUGUAAUUAAAAUUAAUUAAUUAAAAAUUAAAUGGAAUCAUUAAAUUUAAAGAAUUUGGCGGUAUUUUAAAUAGUUAGAGGAAUUUGUUAAUUAAAUGAUAAUCCACGAUUGGAGGGUCCUAAAAUGAGUUUUAUGUAUUGUUGUUUAAAAAUUAUUUUAGAAAAAUAAUAAUUAAAGUAUUUGAUUUAAUUUGAAUUCAAAUCAAAAUGUAGAGUUUUUAGGUAAAUAUGAAUUACAGUUUAAUUUAAUAUUGGAGGUAGUGUUUUAAUUAUAGUAUUGAAACUGGAUUUAAAAGUAAAUUUAAAUAAAUUUUUAAGUUGAAAAAUUAAUUAAAAUAUG